Molecule: transfer RNA, 69 nt
Filed under: Hydroptila sp. XG-2021
Lineage: Eukaryota; Metazoa; Arthropoda; Insecta; Trichoptera; Hydroptilidae
Description: tRNA-Gln
Source: RNAcentral
UAUAUGUAAGUGUAUGGGCACUUAGACUUUUGAAGUCUUAAAGGCAAAGUUUGAUUCUUUGACAUAUAA